Molecule: long non-coding RNA, 820 nt
Organism: Gallus gallus (chicken)
Lineage: Eukaryota; Metazoa; Chordata; Aves; Galliformes; Phasianidae
Exons: 4
Source: RefSeq, a predicted model, not a curated record
CUUCAUUCAGAUUUUAGCCUGUGUCAUAGCAGGAAGAAAUUUAAUACAAUGGGCUACCUAGCUCAGCUACAGGAUGUUGAUUCCAUGUGAAAUAUUGGAACCAUUCAAGAAGAAUGGAAAGACUGUAAAAUAGUUGAACAUGACUGAACUGUGAAAGGACAGUAGAUGAAUAGAGAAUUGUGGAAUAACAGCACCUGCCUUAGAACAUUAUGCGUCUGCAUCCCUGAAGAUAUGCAUGCCUCUAUUUGGAAACUCAAUGAACAGAAAGCACAACAUUAUUUAAUAUUGUCUGUACCUUCGUCUGAUGUUGCAGCAUGGACCACUAGCACGUUUUUUGUUCUUGCUUCUGUCCUUAAAUGGCCCAAGUUAAUUUGCCUCAGCUGGAGACAGCUCACCCAUCCUGAUAUGGUACCUGCAUGCAUAGAAGAAAAGUAAUGAAAGAAUUCCUGUGGUUUGGGUCAGUAAAUAAAACAGAAAGUCUUUCUGGUGGUUGUGGUUUCUGCACUUAACAAUGUGCUGUCUAUCCUUGCUAUUACAGAUCUUAGUUGAGUCUUAUAUAAACUAAACUCUAUUCCUGAAAGAUAUGUAUACAUAGUUUCAUUCAGUUAAAUGGCUGCGAAGAUGGUGGAAUUCACAGAACAUUUUGGCACGUAACCAAAACAUGUGGUGUUAUGUCUGUAAAAGAUCUGGCCAGGUACUGUAAUUAGAUCAUGGAUUUCGAGCUGUCACACACAAUUAUUUCUGGCAGUGCGCUUGUACAAUAUGUACACCUGUAACUUUCUGCAUUCUUAAAUGGGUGGAAGCAUUCAGAAACUCCUUU